UGACAAUUCUGUAUUUGAACAAGAAGCAAAGGUUAGUGAAAAGUAUAUUGCUUUUUGUGAAGUAAUUAGGUUUCAAUAUUCCUGAAAUAAAUGUAAUUAUUUGCAUACUCGAUGAAACGCAUAUAGUAACAAAAACAGAAAUUGUACGAAGCUUCUGAUACUAUCGCAAAUAAAUUUUUCUUUGAUAUAGGAAAUUAGGAAAUUUUUGUUUACUCUCAUUCCUUAACGUUCAAGACUUACGUCCAAAAACUUCAGAACAAAGAAAUGCAGCGUAAAAAUUCAAUAGCACUAUCCUAUUGCAAUUUUAAAACGCGUUUUUCAAGCUGUGUGACAGUGUCAGAUAAUCUCCUCAUCUCUUCUACGCUUUGUGUGUAAAAUUUUGAAUGAUCAAGGCGUUCAACUGUAUUUUUCCAUUCGUUCAACUCAGACUGCAUAGUCAUCAUUACAUCUUUUGAACCCUGCCAACUGCUAAUUGCUUCAGCCGCAUCGGUGUGCAUAUUCUGUAAAGACUUUAGCCGUUCUAACAACAAUGGUAAUAUGGGCAUAUACUGUUCAACGAAGGGAAGUUGGGAAGAACAAAUCUCUAACAUGAUAACAAUAUCUUCUUCCGUACACAAUUCCUUUAACGAAGAGUUUUUUAAAGUCGUUUGUUUCUCUAUUGAACAAAGAUUUCUUUCAUGGUGUUUCAAAAAAUCUUUAGCAAGUAAUUGCUUCCAUGAUUCAAUUCGGGAUUGCCAAAAUUGAGGAUCCUGCUCAACAAUUUCAAGUUUUUCCAUACAUUUGUUUAAAAGCUCGCUAAGCGGUUCAUCAGCAUACCCUAUUUUUGAUUCUAGUUUGAAUAUCCGUUUGUCAAGGCUAUCCAAAUCGAACGGAUAUGAGAGAGUUGGUGACUUCAAGGACUCAGAAGUUUUACUGUUAAGAUUUUUUUCCGUUUCCAGGGUAUCUUGCAAAGUGUCAUCUGAAAAUUGUUCAAGUCUCUUUUCCAUAGUAUCAUCAUUACCACUAAUGGCAGUGUCACUGAUAGUUUCUGACUUUGACCCUUCACUGUUUAUGUGUUUAUCCCACAAUCUAUCCAACAUUUCCCCUAAUUGAGUAAGUUCCUUCUGUUCUUCGUACAUCAUCGACUGCUCCCAUAAUUCUUCAAGUUCGCUGCGAAUUUUCAUUAGUUUCUCUUUCCAACAUUUUUUUUCAGUUUGAUCGGAAGAUUUCCUGAGUCUUAGUCGACCAAUUGUUCUCAUCGGUACAUAGCAAUGUUGCUCUUUAAGUUUACUCAAGCAUUCUUCUACAGAGAAUUGUUUUGUAACGAUGCUGGGUUCAGAGGAGCUGUCUAGAUUAAUCAUUUCUUUCAUCUUUUUUAAUUACUAUCAGUAAACGAAAUUGCUUAAAGGCGUAUCUCAGAUCAUAUGCUUACACGUUUGAUAUUUUUCGGGAGUAAUCGAUGGUUUAGGGGUUUUAUUUGGUUUCAGUUCCUUAAAUAAUAGGUGUUUUCUUAUAGAAUAAAUUUCUUGAUGUUUUAUAGUGAGCACUAUUACUUCGAUAAAAUACAGUUCUAGUCGCAAGCAAGUGCAGGUUAGCAAGGGAGCACCAUAGUAG
Molecule: long non-coding RNA, 1593 nt
Filed under: Schizosaccharomyces pombe (fission yeast)
Lineage: Eukaryota; Fungi; Ascomycota; Schizosaccharomycetes; Schizosaccharomycetales; Schizosaccharomycetaceae
Description: non-coding RNA, possible alternative UTR
Source: RNAcentral